AUGCGUGUGAGGAAAGGUGGGGGCAAGGGCGAUAAUGGCAGACGCCUCGUCUGCUGGAAACUGCUCUCCUCUCCUUCAAGCUCGCAAUCAUGGCCUAUUAUUCAUUCAUGGCUGAAAUUUGGGGAUCAAGCUGCUGAUUGCCUCGUCAUCCAGAAAAGUUAUUUUGGUGAGCAGAACAUUCGCUGGAAGAUGAACCAGCUUUUUCUGGCGAACGAAAUGAGCUCCUAUUUACUACUUUUGAAUUUGUUCAUUGAAACAUUGGGUCCAAGCUUGAUUGUUUACACAGCAAUGAGCACUCCUUUGUUCCCUCAACUUCUUCUAACAAAAUUAGCUAUUGUUAAGCCUGAUUUUUCUUUUACAUAA
RNAcentral lists this ribosomal RNA (363 nucleotides) under Triticum aestivum (bread wheat). RNAcentral's name for it is "partial small subunit ribosomal RNA". The record is from RNAcentral. Lineage: Eukaryota; Viridiplantae; Streptophyta; Magnoliopsida; Poales; Poaceae.